This 173-nucleotide non-coding RNA is filed under the name Andreesenella acetica. RNAcentral's name for it is "Clostridium aceticum T-box sequence". It matches the Rfam family "T-box leader". From Rfam's summary of the family: Uncharged tRNA acts as the effector for transcription antitermination of genes in the T-box leader family. T-boxes are found upstream of many aminoacyl-tRNA synthetase genes and some amino acid biosynthetic genes usually in Gram-positive bacteria. Lineage: Bacteria; Bacillati; Bacillota; Clostridia; Peptostreptococcales; Natronincolaceae. The record is from RNAcentral.
AUAACAGCAAUGAGAAAGAGGAGUAGUUGAAAAGAACACUUAAGCGAGCUGGGGAAAGUGAAAGCCCAGUGUGGUUCAUCAAUGAAGGGCACUUUUGAGCUAAAUUACACAAAGUGGAUACAAUAUGUAUCAACUAGGGUGGAACCGCGGAAGAAAAGUCUUUCGUCCCUAAU